RNAcentral lists this ribosomal RNA (652 nucleotides) under uncultured bacterium. RNAcentral describes it as "bacterial SSU rRNA". It matches the Rfam family "Bacterial small subunit ribosomal RNA", at positions 159 to 809 of the family's 1533-position model. The record is from RNAcentral.
CGGGCUAAACCCGCGUACAUGCCACCGGGGCAUCCCGGAGGCAGGAAAGGCUUCGGCCGGACAGGGAUGGGCAUGCGGCGCAUUAGGCAGUAGGCGGGGUAACGGCCCACCUAACCGACGAUGCGUAGGGGUUCUGAGAGGAAGGUCCCCCACACUGGUACUGAGACACGGACCAGACUCCUACGGGAGGCAGCAGUGAGGAAUAUUGGUCAAUGGUCGGGAGGCUGAACCAGCCAAGCCGCGUGAGGGAUGAAGGUACAGAGUAUCGUAAACCUCUUUUGUCAGGGAACAAAGGCGGGGACGUGUCCCCGGAUGAGUGUACCUGAAGAAAAAGCAUCGGCUAACUCCGUGCCAGCAGCCGCGGUAAUACGGAGGAUGCGAGCGUUAUCCGGAUUUAUUGGGUUUAAAGGGUGCGCAGGCGGUCUGUUAAGUCAGCGGUCAAAGCCCGGGGCUCAACCCCGGCCCGCCGUUGAAACUGGCAGUCUCGAGUUGGAGAGAAGCAUGCGGAAUGCGCGGUGUAGCGGUGAAAUGCAUAGAUAUCGCGCAGAACUCCGAUUGCGAAGGCAGCAUGCCGGCUCCACACUGACGCUGAGGCACGAAAGCGUGGGUAUCGAACAGGAUUAGAUACCCUGGUAGUUCACGCAGUAAACGA